UGCUUGCUAUUGACCCCAGCUGCCAUGCUGUGAGGGAGCCCAGGUGACUGGGAGACACCACAGUCCUCACUAAGGCUCUAACCAACAGCCAGCAUCAGCUGUCAGACGUGUGACUGAGAAAUCUUUGAGAUAGCUCCAGCCUCAGCCAGUGUCCAACUGCAACAGCACAAGGGACUCUGAGCAAGAAUCACCUUCCGGAGCCUAGUUUACCCCAGAACUGUUAAGAGAAUAAUGGCCUGCAGACAAGUUGGAGUGGCUCUGCUCCAACUGUAUCUGAUUCUCCUCCCAGCAGCAGCGGGUGAGCCAAGGCAUGUUCCAGUGGCCAUGGCAGAAGCACAAGAGGGCGAGUGAAAAUGCUCUUAAAUCCCAGGAGGAGCUGAGGAAGAAGUAUGUCUACUUAAGAGGCCCCCAUAGACAUCCAGCCUCCUGGGCUCUGUCUCCAGCAUGAACCAGCCUGGUGGCUGUGACCUGGCCAGAGAAGCUCAACACUCAGCGUUCCACCCCAAGCCCGGUGAAAGUAUCACGAAUUUGUUGAGCAAUCGAAGCCCAAGCUCCCAUCAUCCCAACAGCUGCAGUGAAUCUAUCUGUGACUUCUCUGGAUACCCAUUAAAAAACAGCUCUCAGUAAUAGGGUGUGGAGGGCUG
Molecule: long non-coding RNA, 644 nt
Filed under: Pan troglodytes (chimpanzee)
Lineage: Eukaryota; Metazoa; Chordata; Mammalia; Primates; Hominidae
Description: long non-coding RNA NONPTRT011584
Source: RNAcentral